GACGAACGCUGGCGGCGUGCUUAACACAUGCAAGUCGAACGGAAAGGCCCUGCUUUUGUGGGGUGCUCGAGUGGCGAACGGGUGGGUAACAAGUGAGUAACCUGCCCUUGACUUUGGGAUAACUUCAGGAAACUGGGGCUAAUACCGGAUAGGAGCUCCUGCUGCAUGGUGGGGGUUGGAAAGUUUCGGCGGUUGGGGAUGGACUCGCGGCUUAUCAGCUUGUUGGUGGGGUAGUGGCUUACCAAGGCUUUGACGGGUAGCCGGCCUGAGAGGGUGACCGGCCACAUUGGGACUGAGAUACGGCCCAGACUCCUACGGGAGGCAGCAGUGGGGAAUAUUGCACAAUGGGCGGAAGCCUGAUGCAGCAACGCCGCGUGCGGGAUGACGGCCUUCGGGUUGUAAACCGCUUUCGCCUGUGACGAAGCGUGAGUGACGGUAAUGGGUAAAGAAGCACCGGCUAACUACGUG
This 468-nucleotide ribosomal RNA is filed under the name uncultured bacterium. RNAcentral's name for it is "partial 16S ribosomal RNA". It matches the Rfam family "Bacterial small subunit ribosomal RNA", at positions 28 to 507 of the family's 1533-position model. The record is from RNAcentral.